Molecule: long non-coding RNA, 359 nt
Organism: Zophobas morio
Lineage: Eukaryota; Metazoa; Arthropoda; Insecta; Coleoptera; Tenebrionidae
Exons: 2
Source: RefSeq, a predicted model, not a curated record
UUUACGAGUGUAUUGUUUCUUGCUGAUGCAUAUAACAUGUGUUGAAACUGAAUCUUGUAACUAUUAACCUAGUAGUACAAUUACAUGUAAUACGAACAUAUAAAAAAAGUGUGUAUUUACAAACAUUUUUUUUUAAGAAAUCCCGGAAGGUGUAGUGGAGUAAUCAAUGAGUAAUUAAUGUGUGAAAGAGAGAGUGAAUGAUUAGAGUAGGGAUUAAUGUAGAUGUAAGCAAUAGUGUAUGUAAUAAGACUAAUAAGAAAUGUAUUAAGUAGAGAGUAAGAAGUUAGUAAGUAAGGAGUAAGUGUCUAGGCAACCAAGCGGUGUAAGAGAGAAGAAUAAUAAAGAUAUGUAGUAGUUAA